Molecule: non-coding RNA, 1194 nt
Organism: Schizosaccharomyces pombe (fission yeast)
Lineage: Eukaryota; Fungi; Ascomycota; Schizosaccharomycetes; Schizosaccharomycetales; Schizosaccharomycetaceae
Source: the annotation of a GenBank genome assembly
CACAUAUUUUACAAAGACAUAAUUUAUGAUAAGCUACAUACAAUGAGAUAUAAGUUUAACAAAAAAUCAUUUUUAUAAUGUUUCAAGGAAGUAUAAUAGGAUUCCAAGUAGGUUUACUCACGAAUUCUUCAUCCCAAGUAUCCAUGACAUCCAUAUCUGAUGGGUCAAGCAUGAAUUGCUCAGCCUUCACGUUCUCAUGGAUAUGAACAAACGACGAAGCUUUGAAUAUUGGUGAAACCCCUUUCUGAAGGCAAUAACGAAGAAGAAUAUUCGCCGGUGUUUUAUUGUACUUUAAGGAUAAAUCUAAGAGUCGAAUAUCACUAAGACGAUAUCCUCUUGUUAGCGGUGAAAAAGCCUGUACUAAAAUACCGUGAUUAAAACAGUAAGAAAGAAAAGUAGGCCUGUUAUUGAAUGCAGAAAAUUCGACCUGAUUAAUAGCUGGAAGGGGCAACCCAAGACUGAUAAUUUCUUCCAAAUGAUGAAUAUUAUAGUUGGAAACUCCAAUUUUGUUUAUCCUUCCUUCUUUUUGAUGCUGCAAUAGUGCUCGCCAAGACUCAAUACGGCGUACGGGCCACUUUGGUGAAUGUAUUAGCACGACGUCUAACUUUGGACGACCUGUUCUGCGAAGAGACUGUUCGACCGCUUUCCAGGUACGUUCAAAUCCUUGUAAGGAGUCAGGAAUCUUAGUUAUUAAGGUGAUAUCUUCACGUUUAAUAUUCACAUUUUGAUGGCAGAAAUCUUGAAUGGCUUGUUCACAUUCUUUUUCAUUUCGAUAUGUAAUUGCUGAAUCAAUUACGCGAAUACCAAGCGAGAGUGCCUCAAUUACUUGCUGGUAGCAAUCCUUAAGUUGAUAUACACCAAAGCAAAGUUGUUCCUUUUCAAAAUUGGUUUGAGAAGGAGAAAAUGGUUUCAUUAACGUAAGUUGAGGUAGAUGAGAGAGCUCAAUGUAUAGACAAAAAUAUUUUCUAAAUCCCUAAACCUUUAAGUAGGAGAUUAAAGGAAAUUUUUUAUAUAUUUAGGAUAAUUGUAAAGAAUUAUUCAAUGGUUAUAUAGCUAGGCCAGACAAGUUCAUCCUCAAUAAUACGUUUAACUUUUUCCGAUACAAAUUUCUCGACUUUAGCAACAUUUUUUAGCAGCUGUUUAUUAGAUUCUCCAAUAAUACUUUCCACUGUUAAAUCUCGAAUAACACUUGAU